GUAACGCUGGCGGCGUGCCUAGUACAUGCAAGUCGAGCGAACGGACGAGAAGCUUGCUUCUCUGAUGUUAGCGGCGGACGGGUGAGUAACACGUGGAUAACCUACCUAUAAGACUGGGAUAACUUCGGGAAACCGGAGCUAAUACCGGAUAAUAUUUUGAACCGCAUGGUUCAAAAGUGAAAGACGGUCUUGCUGUCACUUAUAGAUGGAUCCGCGCUGCAUUAGCUAGUUGGUAAGGUAACGGCUUACCAAGGCAACGAUGCAUAGCCGACCUGAGAGGGUGAUCGGCCACACUGGAACUGAGACACGGUCCAGACUCCUACGGGAGGCAGCAGUAGGGAAUCUUCCGCAAUGGGCGAAAGCCUGACGGAGCAACGCCGCGUGAGUGAUGAAGGUCUUCGGAUCGUAAAACUCUGUUAUUAGGGAAGAACAUAUGUGUAAGUAACUGUGCACAUCUUGACGGUACCUAAUCAGAAAGCCACGGCUAACUACGUGCAAGCCCGCCGCGGUA
RNAcentral lists this ribosomal RNA (511 nucleotides) under Staphylococcus aureus. RNAcentral describes it as "bacterial SSU rRNA". It matches the Rfam family "Bacterial small subunit ribosomal RNA", at positions 32 to 522 of the family's 1533-position model. The record is from RNAcentral. Lineage: Bacteria; Bacillati; Bacillota; Bacilli; Caryophanales; Staphylococcaceae.